GCUUGAUGGAUACGACCUUGC
Molecule: non-coding RNA, 21 nt
Filed under: Arabidopsis thaliana (thale cress)
Lineage: Eukaryota; Viridiplantae; Streptophyta; Magnoliopsida; Brassicales; Brassicaceae
Source: RNAcentral